Molecule: unclassified non-coding RNA, 295 nt
Filed under: Hevea brasiliensis (rubber tree)
Lineage: Eukaryota; Viridiplantae; Streptophyta; Magnoliopsida; Malpighiales; Euphorbiaceae
Source: RNAcentral
GUCCCUCUCUAUUAGAUCCCCAGGUAAAGACUUCCCCACCCUCAGUAGCAAGAACAGUGUGAUGUUUGGCAGCUGCAAUUGCCUUCACCCGGCGAGACCCUAAACCAGAAGUCACCUGUCGGGGAGUAAUAACUGCAGCUUGACCACUGUGGAUAUCAAAAUCAGGAUGCCCAAGGCGCCCCCCCCUUCCAAAUCCCCAGGAGUAGACCUCCCCACGUGCACUAACUGCUACACUAUGGAACUUCGCAGCCGAGACCAAUUUAAUAAAAGAACCAUGAAGUGCAUCAACUUUGCA